This 513-nucleotide ribosomal RNA is filed under the name uncultured bacterium. RNAcentral describes it as "partial 16S ribosomal RNA". It matches the Rfam family "Bacterial small subunit ribosomal RNA", at positions 28 to 507 of the family's 1533-position model. The record is from RNAcentral.
GACGAACGCUGGCGGCGUGCUUAACACAUGCAAGUCGAACGAGAGCGUAGAGAAAGCUUGCUUUUUCUACAAUCUAGUGGCAAACGGGUGAGUAACGCGUAAACAACCUGCCCUACGGAUGGGGACAACAGCUGGAAACGGCUGCUAAUACCGAAUACGUUCCGAAAGUCGCAUGACUAUCGGAAGAAAGGAUGGCCUCUAUUUAUAAGCUAUCGCCGGGGGAGGGGUUUGCGUCUGAUUAGCUAGUUGGAGGGGUAACGGCCCACCAAGGCGACGAUCAGUAGCCGGUCUGAGAGGAUGAACGGCCACAUUGGAACUGAGACACGGUCCAGACUCCUACGGGAGGCAGCAGUGGGGAAUCUUCCGCAAUGGGCGAAAGCCUGACGGAGCAACGCCGCGUGAGGGAAGACGGCCUUCGGGUUGUAAAGCUCUGUUAUACGGGACGAAUAAUCUUGUGGUUAAUACCCAUGAGAAGUGACGGUACCGUAAGAGAAAGCCACGGCUAACUACGUG